AAUAAACAGGCCUGUUGUAAUUGUUAAUAUAUUAGCUUCUCUUCAGUGAGUAAAAUAAGCAUAUAUACCAAGUACUCUGAAGGAAAUCUAUGAAGGCUAAGAAAGACUAAGAGUAAGGAGAAGCCCUCUGUUUAGAAUGGUUAAGUAAGACCUCUCUGAGAAAAUAAGCAGAGAAAACAAAAGAGCCAGCUGUGUGAAGAGUUACAGGCCAACAUGAUAUUAUUUGUAAAGAUCCUGAAUUUAGAGACAAGUAUGCUCUAGGUACUGAAGGAAGAACAGGCACUUACCACACACAAUUUGUACUUUCUUCAUUUCCUCAUUUUCUACUGUCUCCUUCCCUAGAAAAUUUGUUCUCUAAGGACAGGGAAAUACUCUGAUUUUUUCCCUUACUGUACCCUUCACAUCUGUCACAGUGCUUUGCACAGAAUUGGCUUUUAUAAAAUGUUUAAAAAAGCAUAGAAGUACCUAUUGCUUGAUUCAUAACUGCCAGUCCCUUGUGGAAAAGCACUGACUUUUCUCCUCCCUUCAGACAAUAAGCUAGUAAGUUGCAUAGAAUAUCAUUUUUUAAAGGAUAUUUAAAAAUGGAACACAUUUUGUCAAAUAUUUCAAAUAAUAAGUUCUAAGAUAUUAUAAAUUUUAUAUUUGAACUAAUAGUUUUACAAAAUAAGAAGUUCACAGAAAAUUACAGCAGUUGGUUUAACUUUUAUAUCUCUAACUAUUAGGUUCAUCCUAUCUAAGGGGAUGGUAUGGAUUCAAUGCUACCUGGAAUGGUCCUGCUAUACAACCUGUUGUUUCUAUGUCCAAUCUUAUUUC
Molecule: long non-coding RNA, 813 nt
Filed under: Marmota monax (woodchuck)
Lineage: Eukaryota; Metazoa; Chordata; Mammalia; Rodentia; Sciuridae
Source: RNAcentral